Molecule: ribosomal RNA, 423 nt
Filed under: uncultured bacterium
Lineage: Bacteria
Description: bacterial SSU rRNA
Rfam family: Bacterial small subunit ribosomal RNA
Source: RNAcentral
AAGACCUUGCGCUUUUGGAGCGGCCGAUGUCUGAUUAGCUUGUUGGUAAGGUAAAAGCUUACCAAGGCUUCGAUCAGUAGCUGGUCUGAGAGGACGGCCAGCCACACUGGGACUGAGACACGGCCCAGACUCCUACGGGAGGCAGCAGUGGGGAAUUUUGGACAAUGGGGGCAACCCUGAUCCAGCCAUGCCGCGUGAGUGAAGAAGGCCUUCGGGUUGUAAAGCUCUUUCAGCCGGGACGAAACGGUUACGGUUAAUACCCGUGACUACUGACAGUACCGGAAGAAGAAGCACCGGCUAACUACGUGCCAGCAGCCGCGGUAAUACGUAGGGUGCAAGCGUUAAUCGGAAUUACUGGGCGUAAAGCGUGCGCAGGUGGUUUUGUAAGUCAGAUGUGAAAUCCCCGGGCUUAACCUGGGAACU